Molecule: long non-coding RNA, 299 nt
Filed under: Cucumis sativus (cucumber)
Lineage: Eukaryota; Viridiplantae; Streptophyta; Magnoliopsida; Cucurbitales; Cucurbitaceae
Description: long non-coding RNA (CSAT_LNC002078)
Source: RNAcentral
AAAACCCUAACGGGUAAGACCAUCACUCUCGAAGUCGAGAGCUCCGAUACCAUCGACAAUGUCAAGGCAAAGAUCCAGGACAAGGAAGGAAUCCCUCCGGACCAGCAGCGUUUGAUUUUCGCCGGAAAGCAGCUUGAGGACGGCCGAACACUAGCCGACUACAACAUUCAGAAGGAAUCCACGCUCCACCUUGUGCUCCGUCUCAGAGGAGGUGCCAAGAAGCGUAAGAAGAAGACCUACACCAAGCCCAAGAAGAUCAAGCACAAGCACAAGAAGGUGAAGCUCGCCGUCCUUCAGUU